RNAcentral lists this small RNA (116 nucleotides) under Marmota monax (woodchuck). The record is from RNAcentral. Lineage: Eukaryota; Metazoa; Chordata; Mammalia; Rodentia; Sciuridae.
GUUGGAUGUGGUGGUGCACAACUAUAGUUCCAGCUACUAGGGAGGCUGAGGCAGGAGGAUUACUUGAGCCAGGAGUGCAAGGCCAGCCUGGGCAAUAGAGUGAUUCCCUAUCUCAG